RNAcentral lists this long non-coding RNA (443 nucleotides) under Mytilus galloprovincialis (Mediterranean mussel). The record is from RNAcentral. Lineage: Eukaryota; Metazoa; Mollusca; Bivalvia; Mytilida; Mytilidae.
UCUUUCAUUGAUUGUGGAGAAACAGCAUUAUAAAUUUGUGUUAUUGAUUUUUAUAAAUUUGAUAUUCAGAAUACAUUGCAGGUAGUUUCUUUAUAAAUAAUUGUAAAUAAUAUCUCGCCAUUAGCUUGUUGACAUUGUCAUCAUUUCAACUACAGUGGAUUUACCUAUUUUCAUGGUUAUUAAUUAUCGUGGAUUGAGGAAAAUUUGCAUAUUCAUGGAUUUUUGAUUUCAUGUUUUUUCCAAUUUCUGCAUACAAAUUCUAAAGAAAAUUUGUAAUUUUUGAAAUUUGAAUUAGUGGUUCAUCUGUAUCUAUGAAGCCCACGAAAAUAAUGAUGAAUUCACAGUAUACAUUAUAUUUUGAACAGCAAGUAGCUAUCAAAUGUGUAAUUGUUAGAUCAUUUGCUAAUGUUUCUAAAUGGUUGACAAAAAGUUAUCAUUUUUCC